Molecule: long non-coding RNA, 354 nt
Filed under: Sus scrofa (pig)
Lineage: Eukaryota; Metazoa; Chordata; Mammalia; Artiodactyla; Suidae
Description: lncRNA (ENSSSCG00070017717.1)
Source: RNAcentral
CUUGAACCUUCCCGCUGCUGUCACCCAGGCAGUAGCCUCUUUGGCGUCUGGUGGCUGGAGGCCUCCCGUGGUCUGGAGGGACCACUUAAGCCCACCUACUCCCGCCUCCACCUGCAGGGUCCUCCCCUCCCCCACCACUCACUGCCCCGCGCAGAGCGUAGAGAGCCACACUGCGCAUGCUCCUCAGGGGAGGGCUGCCUGCAGCGCGACGCGACGCGGGCGGGCGGGUGGUGGGGAUUCCAUUCAAGGGACACCUCGGUAGCAGCCACCUGGCCACGACAGCGUCCGCGUCCCAGACUCUGCCCGACUCCGGGCUCGUCCGAACUCGGUUGAGUUGGAAGAGAAACAAGGCAA